GCCGGGCAUGGUGGCACACGCCUGUGGUCCCAGCUAAUUAGGAGGCUGAGGCAGGAGAAUCGCUUGAACCCGGGAGGUGGAGGUUGCAGUAAGCCGAGAUCGUGCCACUGUAGUGGCACGAUCUCGGCUUACUGUAUCACUCUAGCCUGGGUGACAGAGUGAGACUCUGUCUCAA
Molecule: non-coding RNA, 175 nt
Filed under: Homo sapiens (human)
Lineage: Eukaryota; Metazoa; Chordata; Mammalia; Primates; Hominidae
Source: Rfam by way of RNAcentral